RNAcentral lists this ribosomal RNA (386 nucleotides) under uncultured bacterium. RNAcentral's name for it is "bacterial SSU rRNA". It matches the Rfam family "Bacterial small subunit ribosomal RNA", at positions 128 to 507 of the family's 1533-position model. The record is from RNAcentral.
GCCCAGUCGGUGGGGAUAACGUAGACGAAAGUUACGCUAAUACCGCAUACGAUCUAAGGAUGAAAGCGGGGGACUCGCAAGAGCCUCGCGCGAUUGGAGCGGCCGAUAUCAGAUUAGGUAGUUGGUGGGGUAAAGGCUCACCAAGCCAACGAUCUGUAGCUGGUCUGAGAGGACGACCAGCCACACUGGAACUGAGACACGGUCCAGACUCCUACGGGAGGCAGCAGUGGGGAAUUUUGGACAAUGGACGCAAGUCUGAUCCAGCCAUUCCGCGUGCAGGAUGAAGGCCCUCGGGUUGUAAACUGCUUUGUACGGAACGAAAAGGUUUCUAUUAAUACUAGGAGCUCAUGACGGUACCGUAAGAAUAAGCACCGGCUAACUACGUG